AUAAAACACUUCCAACAUUCCAGGAGGCUCACUUUUGUCACCUCCCUGUCAAUUCUGUCCCCCAACCUGGGAUAACUAUUGUUCUCAUCUCUCAACCUUCCCAGCUUGGCUUGAAUGACUAUCCUUGAUCAACCAGUCAAAAUUUUACAGUCUGUCUCUUACUUAUUAUAUAACAUCUUAUAAACAUCUGACAAUGCAAAGCAACUAGGUGGCAAAAUGAAACUGCAAUUCUUGCAAAAGCAGAAUUUCAUGACAUUGAUAAAAGUGAAGUUGGAGAACUGUUCCAAUCUCAUGUAUAUUCACGUAUCAAGAGACUAGGUAAAAACUGAAGAAUAAAAGAAGAGAAAAUGGGUAAGGAUGAUGACACAAUAAAUGAUUCCAAAAGGUACUGGCUUAAAUACCAAAGAAUUUUAAAAAAUCUCUUUGGAAGAUUGAUUAAAAUCCUUGAUUUUUAAAAAUUCUUAAUUUUAAAUUAUUUUGUAAAAAUGAUCCCCUUUGAUAGUGUUGCACAGGGUAACACGAACUAAAGGAUAUUGCAUUGUGCCAUUCUACAAUUUUGUCCAAGAAAAUAUGCCUUCUCUCUCCAUGCCAAAUCAGCUCCCUAACAUUCUUUGGACUAAGAAUUUGUGCAUUGUUGCAAUUAAUCAUAAAUUCUGUUAACUUUAAGAUAACUAUUUUUAUUAUAUACUUUGAAAUUUGCUCCUUAUUAUAAGAAAGUUAAUUCACUUUGACCCCUUUGCUGCUACCAUUUAUCCUUGGAUGACAAGUGUUUCUUGUAACUCUGGUCUCUGUGAUGAAGUUUAGAGAUGUAAUUUAUUUAUUGCAUCCACACUGUCCUCACUUGGCCAACAGAAUAGAAGCAUAGAGCAGAUAAGUGAUCUGCAAGGGCCACAGUGAUGGUGUUUCCAUCCAUGUCUGUCUGACUCCAGAGUCUAUUCUCUUUAGGUCAGAAUUCCUCCCAGGACCUCAAAAGUGGAGGCAGCCGGAAACCCAGGGUGAUUCCUUUUACUUUCCAAUCCUCAGUCCUUUGAAUGAGAAAAUGAUGUCUGUAUUCUUACUCUUAUUACUAAUACCCAUGCUUUAUGACUGCAAGGGCAAACCACCUCCACACACAUCUCAUUUGGUCCUUACUACCACCCAAGAGGUGGCGGAGAAACAGGCGAGCAGGAAGCUGAAUGACUGCCCCCAGGACCCCCAGCUCACAAGCAGCAGUGCUGUAACUGGAAUGAACACCUUUAGACUUAGAGAAGAGCAGUACUCUUUUCUCUUUACAACUGUCUCCUGGCAUGAAAAGAGGUCUGGGAAAGCUAGAAAAGAAGUUCACUGACCAAGUUAACAUCUAAGCAACCUUCUAUUGUGACAUUUUCCGGGUGAACAACCAUGCUGUCUCCCCCUAAGGGCAGUGCCUGCAACCCCAGCAAGAGGGCUUUGAAGUCACAAUUCUCACCUUGGAGGCUCAAGAAGUUUCUAGCAUUUGAAUUCUGUACAAUCUUGGGAGAUUUGGAGCAAUUCCUAUGAAAAUCCAGCUGAAGUCAUUGCCGGAUGAGAAACAGUGACGAGGGACUUUUGUUUUCCUCUGAAGUAAAACUUAAAAUCUUCUAAAACCUGAGAAGGGUCACCAUAAGAAUAUGAACAACCUCAAAUUGAAAAAGAACAAACAAUCGCACAUUAGGUAAGUGUUUCUAUAACAUGUAGAAAUGAAGGAUCGUGAAUGACUGUAGACCAAAGUAAGUUGACAAUACAUCCAUAAUGAGAUGUAUUCUAAGGACAAAAACAAGUGAAAGAAAAUUUCGAACUUCAUCCUAUCAUCUUCUAGUUUGUAUUAAUGGUGUUUUUGUUUUGGAGUUAUUUUCUUUUUAUUGUUAGGU
Delphinapterus leucas (beluga whale) is the source of this 1868-nucleotide non-coding RNA. NCBI's taxonomy places the organism in Eukaryota, Metazoa, Chordata, Mammalia, Artiodactyla, Monodontidae. The record is from RefSeq and is a predicted model, not a curated record.